Molecule: ribosomal RNA, 383 nt
Filed under: uncultured bacterium
Lineage: Bacteria
Description: bacterial SSU rRNA
Rfam family: Bacterial small subunit ribosomal RNA
Source: RNAcentral
AACGAACGCUGGCGGCAUGCCUAACACAUGCAAGUCGAACGGGAUCCUGGUUUCGGCCAGGUGAGAGUGGCGGACGGGUGAGUAACGCGUGGGAACCUGCCCAGUGGUGGGGGAUAACUGCGGGAAACUGCAGCUAAUACCGCAUGAGCCCGAAAGGGGAAAGAUUGAUCGCCAUUGGAGGGGCCCGCGUUCGAUUAGGUAGUUGGUGAGGUAACGGCUCACCAAGCCUUCGAUCGAUAGCUGGUCUGAGAGGAUGAUCAGCCACACUGGGACUGAGAUACGGCCCAGACUCCUACGGGAGGCAGCAGUGGGGAAUAUUGGACAAUGGGGGCAACCCUGAUCCAGCAAUGCCGCGUGAGUGAUGAAGGCCUUCGGUUGUAAAG